RNAcentral lists this ribosomal RNA (427 nucleotides) under uncultured bacterium. RNAcentral's name for it is "bacterial SSU rRNA". It matches the Rfam family "Bacterial small subunit ribosomal RNA", at positions 355 to 774 of the family's 1533-position model. The record is from RNAcentral.
UGGGGAAUAUUGGACAAUGGGCGAAAGCCUGCUCCAGCCAUGCCGCGUGUGUGAAGAAGGUCUUCGGAUUGUAAAGCACUUUAAGUUGGGAGGAAGGGCAGUUACCUAAUACGUGAUUGUUUUGACGUUACCGACAGAAUAAGCACCGGCUAACUCUGUGCCAGCAGCCGCGGUAAUACAGAGGGUGCAAGCGUUAAUCGGAAUUACUGGGCGUAAAGCGCACGCAGGCGGUUUGUUAAGUCAGAUGUGAAAUCCCCGCGCUUAACGUGGGAACUGCAUUCAAAACUGACGAGCUAGAGUAUGGUAGAGGGUGGUGGAAUUUCCUGUGUAGCGGUGAAAUGCGUAGAUAUAGGAAGGAACACCAGUGGCGAAGGCGACCACCUAGACUGAUACUGACACUGAGGUGCGAAAGCGUGGGGAGCAAACA